This 23-nucleotide non-coding RNA is filed under the name Arabidopsis thaliana (thale cress). Lineage: Eukaryota; Viridiplantae; Streptophyta; Magnoliopsida; Brassicales; Brassicaceae. The record is from RNAcentral.
GGCCAACAUUGGAGACAGGGCCC